UCCUCUUUAGCUCAGUUGGUAGAGCACACCCCUGAUAAGGGUGAGGUCGCUGGUUCAAGUCCAGCAAGGGGAACCA
Molecule: transfer RNA, 76 nt
Filed under: Vibrio parahaemolyticus
Lineage: Bacteria; Pseudomonadati; Pseudomonadota; Gammaproteobacteria; Vibrionales; Vibrionaceae
Description: tRNA-Ile
Rfam family: tRNA
About the family: Transfer RNA (tRNA) molecules are approximately 80 nucleotides in length. Their secondary structure includes four short double-helical elements and three loops (D, anti-codon, and T loops).
Source: RNAcentral